UCUUUUUAAAUAGUAACUAUAUUAUCUGUCCUAAUGGAAAACUAAUUAUGACUAUGUGGGGAAAAAAGGGUAGUUUUCAACUCUAAUUUUACUGAAUAAUUUCAAAAUUUCUUUCCUGCACUAUUCACUAAUUUCUAUUGGUUAAAACUAAGCAGCAGAUUUUUUUUAUUGCUACCUUUCAAAUAUUUCUAUCUUUAUGAAGAGUCUGAAGUGACAAAAUAUGAAACCUAGAAAGGAAAAAAAUGGAGAACAUAGACAUUUCAUUAGUAUAUUAGAUGAAGUAUAGUAUGAAGAACCAGAUCAUAAAAUGAACUUUUUAUUUUCUAACAAAACAAAUUCUAAGGUAAGCACAUUUAACUACAGAUGCACCUUAAAACAAGAAGAAACGAAGAAAUGCUAAUAUGUUGUAUGAAGAAAUUAGGAUGCAGUUAAGAGAAAAAAAGGAAUAUAAUGAAGUUUAAAUGAAACAGCAACUUGAACUCACUCUCAAAACACUAAACAUGGAAUUAAGGACUGUGAAAAAUAAUCAGAACCAGGCAGUUGUGAGACAACUUCAAUAAGAACUGGCAG
This 570-nucleotide long non-coding RNA is filed under the name Sus scrofa (pig). Its description in RNAcentral is "lncRNA (ENSSSCG00015013808.1)". Lineage: Eukaryota; Metazoa; Chordata; Mammalia; Artiodactyla; Suidae. The record is from RNAcentral.